This 233-nucleotide long non-coding RNA is filed under the name Nicotiana benthamiana. RNAcentral describes it as "long non-coding RNA (NBEN_LNC022926)". Lineage: Eukaryota; Viridiplantae; Streptophyta; Magnoliopsida; Solanales; Solanaceae. The record is from RNAcentral.
UACCCGAUAUCCCGUUUUCUUCCCCCUUUUGCCAUUAGCAAAAAAAUAGUAAGGAAAGAUGCAAAAAGAUGAAAUAAACAAGGUUUAUUUAUUGGAAUAAAAAAGAGGGUACAUCAAUGGGAACCAAAGACAACAACAGCAAAAACCACACAAAACACAAAAAAAAUUUGUUCAUUUCCGUCGUUGUCCGCCUCGUUAUCCGGCGCUGCUUCAAAAGGAACGAGAGCUGCAUA